UACGUAGGGUGCGAGCGUUGUCCGGAAUUAUUGGGCGUAAAGAGCUCGUAGGCGGUUUGUCGCGUCGGCCGUGAAAUCUCCACGCUUAACGUGGAGCGUGCGGUCGAUACGGGCAGACUUGAGUUCGGUAGGGGAGACUGGAAUUCCUGGUGUAGCGGUGAAAUGCGCAGAUAUCAGGAGGAACACCGGUGGCGAAGGCGGGUCUCUGGGCCGAUACUGACACUGAGGCGCGACAGCGUGGGGAGCAAACAGG
Molecule: ribosomal RNA, 253 nt
Filed under: uncultured bacterium
Lineage: Bacteria
Description: partial 16S ribosomal RNA
Rfam family: Bacterial small subunit ribosomal RNA
Source: RNAcentral